Oncorhynchus gorbuscha (pink salmon) is the source of this 1696-nucleotide long non-coding RNA. RefSeq lists it as uncharacterized. NCBI's taxonomy places the organism in Eukaryota, Metazoa, Chordata, Actinopteri, Salmoniformes, Salmonidae. The transcript has 2 exons. The record is from RefSeq and is a predicted model, not a curated record.
CCCUCCUCGCUGAUGCAGGGUCAGAUGGUAUCAUAAAGGAGUAGCUAGAAGCUGUCCCUAAUCGCUGAUGCAGGGUCAGAUGGUAUCAUAAAGGAGUAGCUUGAAGCUGUCCCUAAUCGCUGAUGCAGGGUCAGAUGGUAUCAUAAAGGAGUAGCUAGAAGCUGUCCCUAAUCGCUGAUGCAGGGUCAGAUGGUAUCAUAAAGGAGUAGCUUGAAGCUGUCCCUAAUCGCUGAUGCAGGGUCAGAUGGUAUCAUAAAGGAGUAGCUAGAAGCUGUCCCUAAUCGCUGAUGCAGGGUCAGAUGGUAUCAUAAAGGAGUAGCUUGAAGCUGUCCCUAAUCGCUGAUGCAGGGUCAGAUGGUAUCUCAUUGCCCAAGUGGUUAAAGGGAUAGUGUGAGAUUUUGGCAAUUAAGACUUUUUGUUCUACUUACCCAGAGUCAGAUGAACUUGUGGACACCAAAACAGGCUGAAAUUCCAGGCAGUCUUUUCAAACAGCUCUAACACUAAAAGAGCAUCAUCAUCAUUUUAACAUUUUCACAGUAUUAUUCCAUCCUCAUAAUAUGGAAAUAGAUUAAAAUAAAAAACAAGUACAUCACUUUUUUUGACUGCACGGGUCCUUUAAGGUCAGGGUACGGUUAGGGUUGACUGAUCCUAAAUCUGUGGUUAUUUAGAGGCAACCUACCAUACGUUUUCUAGGACGUCACAAUCAGGAUGCAUCUCAAACAGGCAUUGGCCUGUCCAGUAUACACACAAACCUAUUAUUCAUGGAGAACUGAUCAUGUUUUUAUACGAUGUUUUGUAUAUCAUGAUUUAUUCAUUUCUCUUUUUGGGAGAGGGAUGUCUUGAUUUCUUCUGUUGGAUGUGUACAGAUCCUCUUCACCUUACAUUUUUAUUUUAUUUUUUACAUUUUUUUUUUUUGUGGUGCACGACCAUUUUAAAACGGAGCAUAUGUCAUGAAAAUUCCUCCUCGUUUUUAAUGAAGAAUUGAUGAUGAUGAUGAUAGUGAAGAUGAUUAUCAGGGACAUGACCCCCUGACCUUAGUGACGGUUGUGGGGUUCAAAGGUCGGGGGUUCAGGAGUGGGGUUGUGUGAGGGUCAUGAUAUAAAAAAUACAUGGUUCAAUCUGAAAGUUGUACUUAUUAGGUCUGUUCCAGUCGAGCUUGCACACAACAACCAAUGGUUAUAUGCCACGUCAUGGACUUCAGUCGGGUAUCAGAUUGCUACAUCCGAUGGUAUCUGUUUCCCAGACACAGAUUUGUCCUGGACUAAACAUUCUCCAUGGAGAUUUUUCAUUGGAAUACAUUUUGAAUCAGGUACCAGACUUAAUCUGUCUGGUUAACUGGACCUAGAUGUGGUCAGCUGAUAGGUUAAACAUCUAUCCAGCCACUGAAGCGUAAUCAGCCUGGAACAUGUCCUCUGAGACGUAGUAAAAAGCUGGUAUUUAAGUUCACUAGUCCGGCUGUCACCAUCCACACCAUGAUGUAUGUUGGACCCCCCCCCCUGGAGACGCCCCCCCCCAACACAAGCCUAAUAUAAUAUUUGUUGUUUUCAUAAAUGUUCUAUCCAGUGCCAAGAGCAGUGAUUGUUAUCUGGAUCUUUCAUGGUUUUAUUUGCAGUUUCUGUCUUUUUAUUUUCUUAUCGUUCAGAGUGUAACUGCCUAACGUCGCUGAUUUAAAUAAAGUAAAUUGAUUUAUAAGUAA